UUUUAUGUUUAGAUGAUGCUGUUGUUAUCCUAAGAAGUCAACAUGAUUCUUUUCAUAAAAAUAAAGCAAAUAUAUUUAAGAAGAAGCUUAAAGAGCAAAUAACUGCAAGAUCUAUUAAGGUAGUUUAACCAAACUCUUUGCUAGUUGGCUGCUAUGUGUAUUUUAUAUGGUGAAAUUUGCAGUAUCCCGAUAUCCACAGGAUACUAAAAUUUGGUUUUGGGUACCAAACUGCAAAUGACUUAUAUCCCAACUGGAUACUAAGAAAAUUUCAAACAUUAGGAAAAUGUUAAGCACCUCAGACAGUCUCCUGAUAGCUUUUGAAUACUAUGAGUUUGCCACCCAAGCCUUUCCUCAUAUAAUGUUCAUUUUUGUGGAUUAAUGAAUUGUCUAGUUGUUGACAACUUGACUGAACAUUGAAUCUCCUGUUGUUACUGUAAUUUGUAACAGCGAGAGUUAUUGGAUGGGACAGGGUAGAAUACUUAUGGUAACCAGUAUAUCCAGAAGUGGGAUACUGCAUUCUCAGGGGGGGGGGGUACUAAACUUUGAAUCCUGGUAUCCCAGUUGGAUACUGAGAAAAUAUUUAAAUUUCAGACCCUGCCGUGAAUCAGGGCGGUUGAAAGUUUGCCCAGAAUUUUUUGGAGGAUUGCAAUGAAAUAACCUGAAUUGAACAUAUUUAAUCUGCCCAAAUUUCCAUGACGUUCUAAAGUUGCUUUUUGUUUGGGGGGCAGCCCCCCCCCCACUCCCCUAGCCAGUAGGCUUAUAGUGAUUGACACAGUGUAUGUAUAUUUUGUACAGCAUCAAAAUUUUAUCAAACUGUCAAUAAUGUUCAACAUUUAGGGUCAACUCUCAGUCAAAAUGCUUCAUGAAGAUUGGGCACCCUAUGGAGCUUGGACAAUUUUUCCAAUAAUUAAUAUGUGAGUGUGCAAUGCCUUUGGCCAAGGGAAGCCUCACAUAUCGAUUUUUUCCAUGAGAAACGUCAUAUGUUCGUUUGGGGGUGGGGGUUUGCAGCUGUGACGUUUCUCUGUAAAACAUCAUGGAAAAAUUCGAUAGUUUUUUCGAAAGCCUUAACAUGCUUGUGUGAUGUUACUCUGAGUGUAUAUCCCCACCGGGUAGGCUUGAAAAAUAUGCCUGGCCACGGUGGGAUACAAACCUAUGACCUUUGGAAUACUAGCCCAAUGCUCUGCCAACUGAGCUACACGGUCAGGACGGUUCAAGUAAUUAAUGCGGUAUUUCGGAACUGAGUCUAGUUCCUUUUUUUCAAGCCUGCCCGGUGGGGAUAUACACUCAAGCAAGCAUCUUAUUCACCUGAGUACAUCACCUGAGUACAUACACAACACAGCCUUAACAUUCUGGAAUCAUCAUUGCAGAAUAUAAAAAACAAAACAACUUGAUACAAACACCAGUGACAGUGUAUACAUUCGUAAUACAUGUUCUAUACAUUUCUAUUUUUACGCCUUCCUUGCAUUGAAAACACUCAAAUUUCAAGAAAAAUUUGCUAAAAUUGUCAAUAUUUCAUGCAAAAAAAGAAAUUUGAAGAAACAUUGGAAAUUUUGAAGUUCAUAUUAUAUUAAUAAAAAACAUGUGAGCAGAAAAUGACAUAUUCCUCGCAGAAGCAUCGCCAAUAGCAAACCGUGGAAAAUAGUAGAAAAUUAGCUUAUGUGUACUAUAAGAACAAAAUAUUGAUAACUAUGUGUGACGUUUCUAAGGCGGGGGGUGGGGUGUGUCUCCAGAGAAAUGAACAUAUGACGUUUCUCAUGGACAAAAUCGAUAUGUCAGGCUUCCCUUAGCAAAAUAUUAACAUCACUUGAAAAUUGAACAGUUAUACUUUUUUAACAAGUUUAUUAGAG
Non-coding RNA from Paramuricea clavata, 1847 nucleotides. NCBI's taxonomy places the organism in Eukaryota, Metazoa, Cnidaria, Anthozoa, Malacalcyonacea, Plexauridae. The record is from the annotation of a GenBank genome assembly.